Molecule: ribosomal RNA, 371 nt
Filed under: uncultured bacterium
Lineage: Bacteria
Description: bacterial SSU rRNA
Rfam family: Bacterial small subunit ribosomal RNA
Source: RNAcentral
UAAUACGGAGGAUCCAAGCGUUAUCCGGAAUCAUUGGGUUUAAAGGGUCCGUAGGCGGUUUUGUAAGUCAGUGGUGAAAGCCCAUCGCUCAACGGUGGAACGGCCAUUGAUACUGCAAGACUUGAAUUACUAGGAAGUAACUAGAAUAUGUAGUGUAGCGGUGAAAUGCUUAGAUAUUACAUGGAAUACCAAUUGCGAAGGCAGGUUACUACUAGUGGAUUGACGCUGAUGGACGAAAGCGUGGGGAGCGAACAGGAUUAGAUACCCUGGUAGUCCACGCCGUAAACGAUGGAUACUAGCUGUUCGGAGCAAUCUGAGUGGCUAAGCGAAAGUGAUAAGUAUCCCACCUGGGGAGUACGUUCGCAAGAAUG